RNAcentral lists this unclassified non-coding RNA (330 nucleotides) under soil metagenome. RNAcentral describes it as "partial contains 5.8S ribosomal RNA, internal transcribed spacer 2, and large subunit ribosomal RNA". The stretch from base 1 to 120 matches the Rfam family "5.8S ribosomal RNA", at positions 35 to 154 of the family's 154-position model. The record is from RNAcentral.
GAUGAAGAACGUAGCGAAAUGCGAUAAGUAAUGUGAAUUGCAGAAUUCAGUGAAUCAUCGAAUCUUUGAACGCACAUUGCGCCCCUUGGCAUUCCGAGGGGCAUGCCUGUUCGAGCGUCAUUUCAACCCUCAAGCACAGCUUGGUCUUGGGCUUCGCCGCUAACCCGGCGGGUCUUAAAAUCAGUGGCGGUGCCGUCGGGCCCUGAGCGCAGUAAUUUCUCUCGCUAUAGGGUCCCGGCGGAUGCUGGCCAGUAACCCCCAAUUUUCUAUGGUUGACCUCGGAUCAGGUAGGGAUACCCGCUGAACUUAAGCAUAUCAAUAAGCGGAGGA